RNAcentral lists this ribosomal RNA (1446 nucleotides) under Mesobacillus subterraneus. RNAcentral's name for it is "bacterial SSU rRNA". It matches the Rfam family "Bacterial small subunit ribosomal RNA". Lineage: Bacteria; Bacillati; Bacillota; Bacilli; Caryophanales; Bacillaceae. The record is from RNAcentral.
UAUAUUAUUAUUUUUCGGGCCCGCUUUUUUUUAAUGUAGGUGUUUUCCGGNCGGGAAACCGGAGCUAAUACCGGAUAAUCCUUUCCCUCACAUGAGGGAAAGCUGAAAGACGGUUUCGGCUGUCACUUACAGAUGGGCCCGCGGCGCAUUAGCUAGUUGGUGAGGUAAUGGCUCACCAAGGCGACGAUGCGUAGCCGACCUGAGAGGGUGAUCGGCCACACUGGGACUGAGACACGGCCCAGACUCCUACGGGAGGCAGCAGUAGGGAAUCUUCCGCAAUGGACGAAAGUCUGACGGAGCAACGCCGCGUGAGCGAUGAAGGCCUUCGGGUCGUAAAGCUCUGUUGUCAGGGAAGAACAAGUAUCGGAGUAACUGCCGGUACCUUGACGGUACCUGACCAGAAAGCCACGGCUAACUACGUGCCAGCAGCCGCGGUAAUACGUAGGUGGCAAGCGUUGUCCGGAAUUAUUGGGCGUAAAGCGCGCGCAGGCGGUUCCUUAAGUCUGAUGUGAAAGCCCCCGGCUCAACCGGGGAGGGUCAUUGGAAACUGGGGAACUUGAGUGCAGAAGAGGAGAGCGGAAUUCCACGUGUAGCGGUGAAAUGCGUAGAGAUGUGGAGGAACACCAGUGGCGAAGGCGGCUCUCUGGUCUGUAACUGACGCUGAGGCGCGAAAGCGUGGGGAGCGAACAGGAUUAGAUACCCUGGUAGUCCACGCCGUAAACGAUGAGUGCUAAGUGUUAGAGGGUUUCCGCCCUUUAGUGCUGCAGCAAACGCAUUAAGCACUCCGCCUGGGGAGUACGGCCGCAAGGCUGAAACUCAAAGGAAUUGACGGGGGCCCGCACAAGCGGUGGAGCAUGUGGUUUAAUUCGAAGCAACGCGAAGAACCUUACCAGGUCUUGACAUCCUCUGACAACCCUAGAGAUAGGGCUUUCCCCUUCGGGGGACAGAGUGACAGGUGGUGCAUGGUUGUCGUCAGCUCGUGUCGUGAGAUGUUGGGUUAAGUCCCGCAACGAGCGCAACCCUUGAUCUUAGUUGCCAGCAUUAAGUUGGGCACUCUAAGGUGACUGCCGGUGACAAACCGGAGGAAGGUGGGGAUGACGUCAAAUCAUCAUGCCCCUUAUGACCUGGGCUACACACGUGCUACAAUGGAUGGAACAAAGGGCAGCGAAGCCGCGAGGUGAAGCCAAUCCCAUAAAACCAUUCUCAGUUCGGAUUGCAGGCUGCAACUCGCCUGCAUGAAGCCGGAAUCGCUAGUAAUCGCGGAUCAGCAUGCCGCGGUGAAUACGUUCCCGGGCCUUGUACACACCGCCCGUCACACCACGAGAGUUUGUAACACCCGAAGUCGGUGGGGUAACCUUUGGAGCCAGCCGCCUAAUGGCCAUGGGGGGGUUUGGCCACACAGCGACUUAGAGAAAGUGUUGGGGGGGGGGAAAAUAUAUAAAUAAA